UUAAUUUUUAUUUUAUUUUAAAUGCCAGUAUUAAGAGAUUAACAAAGCUCUGUCACAGAGGUAAAGUAAGUGCUGCCCUGGGCUGAUGUUAUGCUCUGGACAGCAGUUACUUUGCUAGCUAGCCACUGUUCAUAACCUGAAUUUUAGCUUGCAGCUUGAAGUAAAAUAGACUGCUCGUAUCUCGAAAAACUCGUAAGUUGAGGUACCGAUGUACUGUUAACACUAGAUCAUUACAUGAACAAAAAUCAACAUACGCGAAAACAUGUGCUAGAACUCAAGACCAAUUAUAUUGAGUGGUAUAUUGGUGAGGCUGUCUUUAAAAUAAUAAUUACUUUGCAUGUGCUAAUAACAUUCUUUUACAUAAUCAGUUUUUUCUUAUUAAAAAUAUUUCUCCCAAUAAAUGCAUAUUAUUACAAUACUACUAUUACAUUAAUAUGUUUUUUCUAACAUUAUUUAUACUAAAGAAAAAAACUUGUGUAGUAUCAUCAUUGGCUGAAUGUCAUAACUGCAUAUAUAAAUACUAUCCUUUUGUUUCCAUGUGUACUUUCCUUAGUUCUCUCUCGAGUAUUUGUAUUGCCAUCCAGACUCUUUUUUCUUAUCUUUCUGCUAUUCUGUAAUUCUGUUUGAAAGUAGUUAUCUUUAUAUCUCAUAAUGCAAUCUCUCCAUUGCCCUCUACUGUAC
This 681-nucleotide long non-coding RNA is filed under the name Androctonus crassicauda. The record is from RNAcentral. Lineage: Eukaryota; Metazoa; Arthropoda; Arachnida; Scorpiones; Buthidae.